This 66-nucleotide transfer RNA is filed under the name bovine gut metagenome. It matches the Rfam family "tRNA". From Rfam's summary of the family: Transfer RNA (tRNA) molecules are approximately 80 nucleotides in length. The record is from RNAcentral.
GGAUUAGCUCAGCUGGUAGAGCGGCUGAUUUGUAAUCAGUAGGUCGAUGGUUCGAAUCCGUCAUCC